GCCAAUUUGUGAAGCCUUCGGUUCUUGUCCACCCAAUGUGUCUUGGACUCUAAUGUCGGAAGAAAUUACUUCACAUGCCGUUUUCUCGAAUGCAUUCACACUUCUAUUGACAUUGUGGAGGUUUGAUCAGCCACCGCUUGAGCAUGUCACAAGAGAUGUUCCUGUGGGAUCCCAUCUAACUCCUGAAUAUCUAUUGCUGGUUCGCAACUCCCAGUUGGCAUUCUCUGAGGAUUUGCUGAAAGAUCAAAGCAAAAGCAAGCAAUUGUCUAGAGUUCUCAGUCAGUUACCUAGAGAACCCAUAUUUAUGGAUUCUUUUCCUAAACUAAAAUGUUGGUACCGACAACAUCAAGCAUGUAUUGCAUCACCUCUCUCAGGUCUCGUCCCUGGAACUCCUGUUCAUCAG
RNAcentral lists this unclassified non-coding RNA (403 nucleotides) under Hevea brasiliensis (rubber tree). Lineage: Eukaryota; Viridiplantae; Streptophyta; Magnoliopsida; Malpighiales; Euphorbiaceae. The record is from RNAcentral.